GGCAGUGUGGUGCAAUGGUGAGGACUCUGGACUAGGGCUGCAGAGACCCAGGCUCGAGUCCCCUUCUACUGCAC
Cnephaeus nilssonii (northern bat) is the source of this 74-nucleotide non-coding RNA. The record is from the annotation of a GenBank genome assembly. Lineage: Eukaryota; Metazoa; Chordata; Mammalia; Chiroptera; Vespertilionidae.